Molecule: small nucleolar RNA, 139 nt
Filed under: Chloebia gouldiae (Gouldian finch)
Lineage: Eukaryota; Metazoa; Chordata; Aves; Passeriformes; Passeridae
Description: Erythrura gouldiae (Gouldian finch) Small nucleolar RNA SNORA49 (ENSEGOG00005003850.1)
Rfam family: Small nucleolar RNA SNORA49
About the family: The snoRNA ACA49 has no identified RNA target. NB genomic sequence 1-nt different from published.
Source: Rfam by way of RNAcentral
GUUCCUCAGCCUUACUCCAGGGGCUUUUAUUUUUCAUAAAGCGCCCUGGCAUUGCCUGAGGAUAAAUUGAAAGUAUGCUCCUUUCCCUCCCCAGCAGGAUUCUCUAUAUCCUCUGGGGCCUACAAUUUGAGCAAACAUU